RNAcentral lists this ribosomal RNA (451 nucleotides) under uncultured bacterium. RNAcentral's name for it is "partial 16S ribosomal RNA". It matches the Rfam family "Bacterial small subunit ribosomal RNA", at positions 28 to 507 of the family's 1533-position model. The record is from RNAcentral.
GAUGAAUGCUGGCGGCGUGCCUAACACAUGCAAGUCGAGCGGCAGCGAGGGGUGCUUGCACCCUGUCGGCGAGCGGCGAACGGCUGAGUAACGCGUAGGAAUUUGCCCCAAAGUGAGGAAUAACUGCCCGAAAGGGUAGCUAAUGCCGCAUAUGGUCUUCGGAUUAAAGGAUUUAUCCGCUUUGGGAGAAGCCUGCGUUGGAUUAGGUUGUUGGUAGGGUAAUGGCCUACCAAGCCGACGAUCCAUAGCUGGUCUGAGAGGAUGAUCAGCCAGACUGGAACUGAGACACGGUCCAGACUCCUACGGGAGGCAGCAGUGAGGAAUCUUCCACAAUGGGCGAAAGCCUGAUGGAGCAACGCCGCGUGAAGGAUGAAGGCCUCCGGGUUGUAAACUUCUUUUAUGAGUGAAGAAUAUGACGGUAACUCGUGAAUAAGCACCGGCUAACUACGUG